UGAAAUUGGAAUGAUACAGAGAAGAUUAGUAGCACGGCACCUGUGCAAGGAUGACAUGUAAAUUCUGAAGUGUUCCAUUAAAAA
Molecule: small nuclear RNA, 84 nt
Filed under: Chlorocebus sabaeus (green monkey)
Lineage: Eukaryota; Metazoa; Chordata; Mammalia; Primates; Cercopithecidae
Source: RNAcentral